Molecule: ribosomal RNA, 309 nt
Filed under: Triticum aestivum (bread wheat)
Lineage: Eukaryota; Viridiplantae; Streptophyta; Magnoliopsida; Poales; Poaceae
Description: partial small subunit ribosomal RNA
Source: RNAcentral
AUGGAAUCACCUGAGCCAGAAAAUUCCUGUGAAGAUUGGGGAUAUGAAAUCACUGUAAUCACUCGACUUGUCAAGGAACAAUAUCUCCGGUGCAAUCCCAACAAGCCUCUCAGAUUUGACAUAUCUAAGCUCCUUGGACUUGUCAUACAACAAUCUUGCAGGAAGAAUUCCAACAGGCCGUCAACUGGUCACUCUGUACGCAGAAGAUCCGUCCAUGUACGAUGGCAACAGUCGGCUUUGCGGCCCUCCUCUUCAAAGGAAUUGCUCAGGCAACAGUCGACCAGAGCAUGGGAAUCAGCAGAGAAGUGA